This 74-nucleotide transfer RNA is filed under the name Sus scrofa (pig). It matches the Rfam family "tRNA". Rfam says of the family: Transfer RNA (tRNA) molecules are approximately 80 nucleotides in length. Their secondary structure includes four short double-helical elements and three loops (D, anti-codon, and T loops). The record is from Rfam by way of RNAcentral. Lineage: Eukaryota; Metazoa; Chordata; Mammalia; Artiodactyla; Suidae.
UCCCUGGUGGCCUAGUGGUUAAGGACACAGCAUUGUCAUUGCUGUGGCUCGGGGUUCAAUCCCUGGCCUGGGCA